Molecule: ribosomal RNA, 472 nt
Filed under: uncultured organism
Description: partial 16S ribosomal RNA
Rfam family: Bacterial small subunit ribosomal RNA
Source: RNAcentral
CACUCCUACGGGAGACAGCAGUGGGGAAUAUUGCACAAUGGGCGCAAGCCUGAUGCAGCCAUGCCGCGUGUGUGAAGAAGGCCUUCGGGUUGUAAAGCACUUUCAGCGGGGAGGAAGGCGAUACGGUUAAUAACCGUGUUGAUUGACGUUACCCGCAGAAGAAGCACCGGCUAACUCCGUGCCAGCAGCCGCGGUAAUACGGAGGGUGCAAGCGUUAAUCGGAAUUACUGGGCGUAAAGCGCACGCAGGCGGUCUGUCAAGUCGGAUGUGAAAUCCCCGGGCUCAACCUGGGAACUGCAUUCGAAACUGGCAGGCUUGAGUCUUGUAGAGGGGGGUAGAAUUCCAGGUGUAGCGGUGAAAUGCGUAGAGAUCUGGAGGAAUACCGGUGGCGAAGGCGGCCCCCUGGACAAAGACUGACGCUCAGGUGCGAAAGCGUGGGGAGCAAACAGGAUUAGAAACCCCAGUAGUCCCA